Molecule: ribosomal RNA, 1110 nt
Filed under: Triticum aestivum (bread wheat)
Lineage: Eukaryota; Viridiplantae; Streptophyta; Magnoliopsida; Poales; Poaceae
Description: partial small subunit ribosomal RNA
Source: RNAcentral
AUGUCGAAGAAAGGAGGUAAAAAGGCCACGGCAGGCGGCGGCGAGCUGUCCCGCUUCCUGCAGCCGCACCUCCAGACCAUCACGGACACCCUCCAGAUGAUGUCGGAGGCGGCUCCCGGGGGACUGGAGCGGACGGAGUGGUCGGAGGUCGUCGCGCUCGGCGAUGUGGUGUCCAGGCAGGCCACCGUCGCUGGGAUGGUCUGGAGCGGAGACUUGCCUGGUGUGGAGACGCUCAAGGAGAACAUUGCCGCGUAUUUCAACGUCCUGCAGGGUUUCCUUUUGGCUUGCCAUGGAAGCACGGUCGGUGCUGGUCCUACUCUUCACAAGUAUAUCACUAGUUCUGCAAAGGGUGUGGUGGAUGCCAGCUUCUCGUUGUUCAAGCUAGCUCUUUCUGCCUAUGAAUCUGGCAGUCCUGACCGGAAAACAAUCAUACCUCCAGUGACAGGAACUGUAUGGGAAGCUUGUCUUGCUCUUAAGAAGGUGCCUGCAACCAACUGUAUCGCCAUAGGGCGAGCCAUGACGCAGAUAUGUGUAUGUCUGAAGGAUAUCCUGCGUGAGAUGAAAGAACUCCCAGUUGGUGAUUCUGAUGAUACCAAAGCUGGAAAAUCUUCCAAUGGAGAUGCCGCCAUGAGCUUUUCAGAUAAGGAUGAAUCCUUCUCUGAUCUUGAGGAAGAUGAAGGCUUCACUGAGGAGGAGAUAGCCGUCGCCAAGUUGAUUAUCGCUGUUACAGCAGAUUCGCUUGAUGCGGUGAAAGAAACAAUCCGUUUCAUCACUAGUUUGCUCAAGAGCUCUGGCAACCAAAGCGGUGCUGCUGAGGACAAGGUGGAGUCAAUGGAGAAUUUGCUGAGCCACUGCAGGGACGUUGCUGACCAGGUUAACGAGCUUGGGGCCUCCGUUUAUGCACAAGACCCAUCUGAAAUGAAGUCAGCCAUAAAAAGACUGUACGUUGGCAUCACAGGGAUGUGCCAGGAAAUAGCGGGCCUCGGUGGCUCGCCCAAGAACGCCUAUGCAGCCUUCAGUGGAUUUGAGAAGUCGUUGAAAGCUCUUGAGGAAGAGAUAGGUGAGGAUGUCGUGGACGAAAUGAAGAAUCUUACCAUCAGCCCAUCCUGA